UACUAUAGCUUGACACUGAACAUUGAGCCUUGAUGUGUAGGAUAGGUGGGAGGCUUUGAAGUGUGGACGCCAGUCUGCAUGGAGCCGGCCUUGAAAUACCACCCUUUAAUGUUUGAUGUUCUAACGUGGACCCGUAAUCCGGGUUGCGGACAGUGUCUGGUGGGUAGUUUGACUGGGGCGGUCUCCUCCUAAAGAGUAACGGAGGAGCACGAAGGUUGGCUAAUCCUGGUCGGACAUCAGGAGGUUAGUGCAAUG
RNAcentral lists this ribosomal RNA (255 nucleotides) under Escherichia coli. RNAcentral describes it as "partial 23S ribosomal RNA". It matches the Rfam family "Bacterial large subunit ribosomal RNA", at positions 2102 to 2356 of the family's 2925-position model. The record is from RNAcentral. Lineage: Bacteria; Pseudomonadati; Pseudomonadota; Gammaproteobacteria; Enterobacterales; Enterobacteriaceae.